GGGGUUGUGGCUCGGUGGGUGAGCACUUGCCUAGCAUGUAUGAGGUACUGGGUUCGAUUCCCAGCACUGCA
RNAcentral lists this transfer RNA (71 nucleotides) under Marmota monax (woodchuck). RNAcentral describes it as "tRNA.Ala". The stretch from base 6 to 66 matches the Rfam family "tRNA", at positions 6 to 65 of the family's 71-position model. From Rfam's summary of the family: Transfer RNA (tRNA) molecules are approximately 80 nucleotides in length. Their secondary structure includes four short double-helical elements and three loops (D, anti-codon, and T loops). Further hydrogen bonds mediate the characteristic L-shaped molecular structure. tRNAs have two regions of fundamental functional importance: the anti-codon, which is responsible for specific mRNA codon recognition, and the 3' end, to which the tRNAs corresponding amino acid is attached (by aminoacyl-tRNA synthetases). tRNAs cope with the degeneracy of the genetic code in two manners: having more than one tRNA (with a specific anti-codon) for a particular amino acid; and 'wobble' base-pairing, i.e. permitting non-standard base-pairing at the 3rd anti-codon position. The record is from RNAcentral. Lineage: Eukaryota; Metazoa; Chordata; Mammalia; Rodentia; Sciuridae.